GCAACCGCGAGGAAAAUGUAAAUAUAACUUCAUUAGCCUAAUUACCAAGUUGUUAAUUGAGUUGCACGGUACUAAUCUCCAAUAUUUAUUUCUUCACAGAAGAAGGUCGUAUUCACUCAGAUUCGGGACAGCAAUGAUUUGUGCUCGUCUGCUGCGGGAGAAUGCGGAGACAUUACUUCAAUAAUAAGGAAUCUGGGUACUUCGAUACACAAAAUCGAGCCCUGUCGAGUCCUAGUGUUGCCUUUAUGCUGUUGGAUUUGGUCAAGGACAACUUCAUAAACGUUUUGCAGACGAUUGUGAUCGGUGGUUCGAUCAAUUGGAUUAGGCCUCACUUAAUUCCGCCUGGGUUUUGUCAGCUUCGUGAUAUCUCCCGAAUGUGUUUGGCUGAGAAGUAAUUACACGCUGGUCCUGGGAGAUGAUAAUGCCAUGGAUCAGACCCAAUCGAUGCAGGAUCAGAUGUCGAUAGUUUAGAUAGUUCAAUAAAUGAAUAAAGAUACAUACAAAAGCUCAAUAAGUUUAUAACAAUAUAUGCAUAAAGGUUGGGUUAACAUAACAUGUUUAGGGUAUAUGUUAAACCAACGUUGAACCGACUGCUUAUACUGGGUUAUACUGGCCGAUUUGACAUUUGUUUACCAUUGUUAUCGCGUAAUAUGUUUACUAAGUAUUGGUAAUAAAUUUACUGAGUAUUGGUAACAUUUACCAAAAAGCCGGAAUUACGAAUGCAAUACGAAUUAUUCGUACAUAUUACACAAUAACAAUGGUAAACAAAUGUCAAACGGCCAGUAUGACCCACUAUUGGCGAUCUAACGUACAAAUCUACACCUAGGCGGCACUGCGGUGAAAGUGAUGAUGGUUUUAAAUUUUGCCAUGUGAGCUUAUGGAAGGUUUGUAGUUCUUUCCAUAAAUUACAAUGUUAUAAUCAUAAAAGAUUAUUUGAUUGCGAUGAGUUUGUAAGAAAUUUAAUUCUGCGCAAUUUUAUAUAUAACAUGUUAUUUAUUUAUCUCUUUCAAUAGUAAAAACUAUAAAAAUGUUGACAAUGGUUGAAUUAAAGAAGGAAAUUCGAGAGCACAAUCAAACACAAGUAGAAAAAUGCACGAUUCCUGCAUGUGAGAACUUCCUUGGAAAGCCCGGAAGUAAAAUAUACGUGUUUUGUUUUUGAGUUUUAGGUUACAUUAGCAUCAUUUUCUUAGUUCAAAAACAAAAUCCAGAUGCCUCACCGAUCGUUUACGUUUUGCGUUAGAUCGCCAAUAAGCGGUCGGUUCAACGUUGGUUUAACAUAUAACCUAAACAUAUAUGUAAUUUUUGACGUAGGAUAAAGUCUUUCGGGAACAUAUUGGGGUACAAAUUGAAAAUCGAAAAUCGAGCACAUCGUAAAAAUUGUCCAAUUUCAAACACAUAUUGCUCAGUCAUUUCAUGAUGGAUUGAUAAAAUUUUUGCGUCAAUCGAUUUCUGCACUCCAUAAC
Toxorhynchites rutilus septentrionalis is the source of this 1463-nucleotide long non-coding RNA. RefSeq lists it as uncharacterized. The transcript is spliced from 3 exons. The record is from RefSeq and is a predicted model, not a curated record. Lineage: Eukaryota; Metazoa; Arthropoda; Insecta; Diptera; Culicidae.